GAUGAACGCUGGCGGCGUGCCUAAUACAUGCAAGUCGAGCGAACAGACGAGGAGCUUGCUCCUCUGACGUUAGCGGCGGACGGGUGAGUAACACGUGGAUAACCUACCUAUAAGGCUGGGAUAACUUCGGGAAACCGGAGCUAAUACCGGAUAAUAUAUUGAACCGCAUGGUUCAAUAGUGAAAGACGGUUUUGCUGUCACUUAUAGAUGGAUCCGCGCCGCAUUAGCUAGUUGGUAAGGUAACGGCUUACCAAGGCAACGAUGCGUAGUCGACCUGAGAGGGUGAUCGGCCACACUGGAACUGAGACACGGUCCAGACUCCUACGGGAGGCAGCAGUAGGGAAUCUUCCGCAAUGGGCGAAAGCCUGACGGAGCAACGCCGCGUGAGUGAUGAAGGUCUUCGGAUCGUAAAACUCUGUUAUUAGGGAAGAACAAAUGUGUAAGUAACUAUGCACGUCUUGACGGUACCUAAUCAGAAAGCCACGGCUAACUACGUG
RNAcentral lists this ribosomal RNA (497 nucleotides) under uncultured bacterium. Its description in RNAcentral is "partial 16S ribosomal RNA". It matches the Rfam family "Bacterial small subunit ribosomal RNA", at positions 28 to 507 of the family's 1533-position model. The record is from RNAcentral.